RNAcentral lists this long non-coding RNA (1134 nucleotides) under Apteryx haastii (Great spotted kiwi). RNAcentral describes it as "lncRNA (ENSAHAG00000005569.1)". Lineage: Eukaryota; Metazoa; Chordata; Aves; Apterygiformes; Apterygidae. The record is from RNAcentral.
AUGUGCGACCAGAGCCCUGAGCGAGGUUAUCCUUCCCGUGGAAAACAGCCGGAGACGAGCAAGUUCCUUCGGAGCACAGAAAGGGCGGGAAGCCRGGCCGGCGGCCACUGUCUCGAGUUUGUACAGUAUAAACGUUGGGGUUUCUACGUCUGGCAUUCAAAAUCUUCCCAGAGCUCUUCUUUCCCUGCAGACGCGUGUCUCUCGGGUGGCUCGACACGCGCCGGCCUCUGGGCUCUGCCUCCUGCGCGCUUUCCCCGGGUGUUUUGCCCGGCCAGGGGCUUUCACAGGCAAGCAGCGACUCCCCUCGCCGAAGCGGGGCCAGGUGGCGCGGUGCCGUGGCCAUGCGAGCCACCGCGGCCUGCUCUGCCGGCCGGAGCCAGGCCGCCGCAGCGCUCCCCUCGCAGCGCCCCCCUCGCGGUGCCCCCGCUGCUGCUGGCGCGGGGAAGGGGGCUCGGCGGCAGAGUCGCGCUCCUCUCCGCUUUUCCCGCUUCAUCAAAACGAGCCCGACACCUCUUCUCCUCACGGACCCCUUCUACCUUUCAUGAGGUGAAAAACAGCCUUUGCCAAGCCGCGGUCUUCUCGCCGCCCUCGCAUCCCGGCUCRGCUGACUUUGGCACUUCUCCCUCGGUGCAGGGCCGAGCCGGGCGCCCCGACGUGCCGGGACACGGCUGCCGGAGGCUGAGCCCUCCUCGCGCCCCACACCGUGCCCUGCCGCCCGCCUGCCCAUCCRCGGGGCAGUGCGGGGCGCCCGAGGCGUGUGGCGCCGAGGGGAAGGCGUGCAGCGCGCCCGGCUCCUCGCUGCCGACCCCUCUGCGGUCUCCAGCCCUCGAGGAGACGUGGGGAGUGUGCGGGUCCGUCUCCUGCCCCGCCGGCGCUUGGGUGCCUCCGCCRCGGGCGGGGAGCAAGGGAGGCCGGGGCGCAAGACGGCCGAGCAGCGCGGGGCUCCGCGUGCCGCCUGGGCCGGGGAUCCCCCGGACGGUGAGCAGGUCGCUUCUCGCCUGCGGCCCCGGCCCGGCCCGGCCCAGCCCAGCCUGGCCCGCGUGGCACUGCGGCAGCCUGCCGAGGCCGCUGGCGCGGAUCUGGCGGAGGAACAGUCCGGUGCCUCCUGCCGACUCGUUAACUGUUGGGCGCUAA